GGGGGCAACCCCUUGAGAGUGGCGACCGUGUGAGUAAUAUAUCGGAACGUGCCCAGUCGUGGGGGAUAACGUAGCGAAAGUUACGCUAAUACCGCAUACGAUCUACGGAUGAAAGCGGGGGACUCGCAAGAGCCUCGCGCGAUUGGAGCGGCCGAUAUCAGAUUAGGUAGUUGGUGGGGUAAAGGCUCACCAAGCCAACGAUCUGUAGCUGGUCUGAGAGGACGACCAGCCACACUGGAACUGAGACACGGUCCAGACUCCUACGGGAGGCAGCAGUGGGGAAUUUUGGACAAUGGACGCAAGUCUGAUCCAGCCAUUCCGCGUGCAGGAUGAAGGCCCUCGGGUUGUAAACUGCUUUUGUACGGAACGAAAAGGUUUCUAUUAAUACUAGGAGCUCAUGACGGUACCGUAAGAAUAAGCACCGGCUAACUACGUGCCAGCAGCCGCGGUAAUACGUAGGGUGCAAGCGUUAAUCGGAAUUACUGGGCGUAAAGCGUGCGCAGGCGGUUAUAUAAGACAGAUGUGAAAUCCCCGGGCUCAACCUGGGAACUGCAUUUGUGACUGUAUAGCUAGAGUACGGUAGAGGGGGAUGGAAUUCUGCGUGUAGCAGUGAAAUGCGUAGAUAUGCGGAGGAACACCGAUGGCGAAGGCAAUCCCCUGGACCUGUACUGACGCUCAUGCACGAAAGCGUGGGGAGCAAACAGGAUUAGAUACCCUGGUAGUCCACGCCCUAAACGAUGUCAACUGGCUGUUGGGUCUUCACUGACUCAGUAACGAAGCUAACGCGUGAAGUUGACCGCCUGGGGAGUACGGCCGCAAGGUUUGAAACUCAAGGAAUUGACGGGGACCCGCACAAGCG
This 859-nucleotide ribosomal RNA is filed under the name uncultured bacterium. RNAcentral's name for it is "bacterial SSU rRNA". It matches the Rfam family "Bacterial small subunit ribosomal RNA", at positions 75 to 931 of the family's 1533-position model. The record is from RNAcentral.